UCACGGUUGUGUGUGUGGUGGCUAUAUAUCAUUUUCGUCGUCACCAAACUUGGCAUAAUUCCAAACACUGUCUUUUCCUUUUUAUUUGUAUCUUCCUUCCACAGAAUGUUCAUGGACGACACGAGCGAAUCCAAGCCCCUAACCUCACAGCACAGACAAGAUCACCACCAUGACGAAGACGGACACGAAAACGAAGCAGAGGAAGCUCUCUCCUUCUCCGAUCUUCCACUCGACAAACAAAAAUCCGACGGCCACACUCCGGAGAGCUUCCGCAAGAAUCCACGUAGGUCCUCCUCCGAGCCUCUGGAUCUCUUUGAAUUCUUCAGUGCUGGAUUUAUCACCUCUGAGAUUUCUCCGGCCGAGGAUUUGAUCUUCUGCGGCAGGUUGCUUCCUCUCAAUGACCUUUCUCAGCUUACUACUAGUACUAAUCGUACAGCCGACAAGAGUUUCUGGAAGGAUGAGAGUCGAAAACAGACUGUCUUUCGAAAGCGCUCUGAGUCAUUGUCUGGAUUGCAGAGCUCUGUUUCUCGAUCGAACACUGCGAAGAUCAAUCUCAAGCGGAAUAGCCGAUCGCUCGAUUACCGCAAGCUCUAUCGCCAAGCGAAUUCGAUUUUCUCACCGACGGCUGAAAUCGAUCGUAAUUGUUCGAUCAAGGCCGGAUUGAAGCCUGAUCCACUGAACAAAAAGGCUUCGUCAAAGCCGCGGUGGUACUUGCUAAUGUUCGGAAUGGUGAAGUUUCCAGCGGAGAUGGACCUCAGCGACAUUAAGAGCAGACAAGUCCGCCGAAGUUCGUCGGCACUCUUUCCGGCGAGCGAGAGUAAAGGUAAAUAUCACUGCAAUAAUCGAAGCUCCGGCGAAGCGACUUGGAGGAUCCUUAGGGCGCUUAGCUGCAAGAACUACGCUAGUGUAGAUGUAACGGCGUCGUUAACUGCCUAAGGUACGUUUCACGUGGAUAGCACGUGACUAGCGGUUACAUUCCCGUUUCGUACUAUAUUGCCCCCCAUUGAUGCUGUGACAUUCCAGGACCACGAGAAGGUCAGUAUGGGAAAUUGAAAUUAAAAUGAAAAAUAUCAUACGCUUCACGUCCAAGGGAAGGGUAGUGUACAGUGGCGGAGCGUGGGCGAUGAUGUGGCCUCAGGAAACUUGUAUGUUGGGGAAGAUUCAUGAUUAUAUAUGCCAAACAUAUUUCAUCCACGCCGAUGUUGAUGUCAACUAGACAACAUGAUAGGUCCCCUCCAUCCAAGCCUCUUCUUGCGUCCAAUAAUUCCCUAUAUACAUAAUGUCAAUUCUGACAUUAAAAUGUAUUGUAGCGUAGAAAGGAAUUUUAGGGUCCUCACUCUUGAGCAAAUCAUUUCUUUCAUAUUAUGAUGCCAAUACAAUUAUGGCUUCGGAGUCUCAUGGAAAGGAGAAUCUUUUCCAACACAUAA
Molecule: RNA transcript, 1427 nt
Organism: Cucurbita maxima (winter squash)
Lineage: Eukaryota; Viridiplantae; Streptophyta; Magnoliopsida; Cucurbitales; Cucurbitaceae
Exons: 2
Source: RefSeq, a predicted model, not a curated record